GAUGAACGCUGGCGGCGUGCCUAACACAUGCAAGUCGAGCGGCAGCGAGGGGUGCUUGCACCCUGUCGGCGAGCGGCGGACGGCUGAGUAACGCGUGGGAACGUGCCCCAAAGUGAGGAAUAACUGCCCGAAAGGGUAGCUAAUACCGCAUAUUAUCUUCGGAUCAAAGGAUUUAUCCGCGUUGGGCGCGGCUCGCGUCGGAUUAGGUGGUUGGUGAGGUAAUGGCUCACCAAGGCGACGAUCCGUAGCUGGUCUGAGAGGAUGACCAGCCAGACUGGAACUGAGACACGGUCCAGACUCCUACGGGAGGGAGCAGUGAGGAAUCUUCCACAAUGGGCGAAAGCCUGAUGGAGCAACGCCGCGUGCAGGACGAAGGCCUUCGGGUUGUAAACUGCUUUUAUAAGUGAGGAAUAUGACGGUAACUUAUGAAUAAGGAUCGGCUAACUACGUG
RNAcentral lists this ribosomal RNA (451 nucleotides) under uncultured bacterium. Its description in RNAcentral is "partial 16S ribosomal RNA". It matches the Rfam family "Bacterial small subunit ribosomal RNA", at positions 28 to 507 of the family's 1533-position model. The record is from RNAcentral.